RNAcentral lists this ribosomal RNA (673 nucleotides) under uncultured bacterium. RNAcentral describes it as "bacterial SSU rRNA". It matches the Rfam family "Bacterial small subunit ribosomal RNA", at positions 377 to 1047 of the family's 1533-position model. The record is from RNAcentral.
GAAAGCCUGAUCCAGCAAUGCCGCGUGAGUGAAGAAGGCCUUCGGGUUGUAAAGCUCUUUUGUCAGGGAAGAAACGGUGAGGGCUAAUAUCCCUUGCUAAUGACGGUACCUGAAGAAUAAGCACCGGCUAACUACGUGCCAGCAGCCGCGGUAAUACGUAGGGUGCAAGCGUUAAUCGGAAUUACUGGGCGUAAAGCGUGCGCAGGCGGUUUUGUAAGUCUGAUGUGAAAUCCCCGGGCUCAACCUGGGAAUUGCAUUGGAGACUGCAAGGCUAGAAUCUGGCAGAGGGGGGUAGAAUUCCACGUGUAGCAGUGAAAUGCGUAGAUAUGUGGAGGAACACCGAUGGCGAAGGCAGCCCCCUGGGUCAAGAUUGACGCUCAUGCACGAAAGCGUGGGGAGCAAACAGGAUUAGAUACCCUGGUAGUCCACGCCCUAAACGAUGUCUACUAGUUGUCGGGUCUUAAUUGACUUGGUAACGCAGCUAACGCGUGAAGUAGACCGCCUGGGGAGUACGGUCGCAAGAUUAAAACUCAAAGGAAUUGACGGGGACCGCACAAGCGGUGGAUGAUGUGGAUUAAUUCGAUGCAACGCGAAAAACCUUACUACCUUGACAUGGCUGGAAUCCCUGAGAGAUUGGGGAGUGCUCGAAAGAAACAGUACACAGGUGCUGAUG